GGGAUUCCUUAGUAACGGCGAGUGAAGUGGCAAGAGCUCAAAUUUGAAAUCUGGCCCUUUCGGGGUCCGAGUUGUAAUUUGCAGAGAGUGUUUCGGGUGAGACCACGGUCUAAGUCCAUUGGAACAUGGUGUCAUAGAGGGUGAGAAUCCCGUAUGUGACUGUGGGUGGAGCCCAGGUGAAGCCUCUUCGACGAGUCGAGUUGUUUGGGAAUGCAGCUCAAAAUGGGUGGUAAAUUUCAUCUAAAGCUAAAUACUGGCUGGAGACCGAUAGCGCACAAGUAGAGUGAUCGAAAGAUGAAAAGCACUUUGAAAAGAGAGUCAAACAGUACGUGAAAUUGUUGAAAGGGAAGCGUUUGCAACCAGACCUGCCCGUAGGUGAUCAGCCGCUGUUUUCAGUGGUGCACUCGCUCUACGAUCAGGCCAGCAUCGGUUCGGGCGGCCGGACAAAGGCCCUGGGAAUGUAGCUCUCCCCGGGGAGUUUUAUAGCCCUCGGUGCCAUGCGGCCAGCCUGGAUCGAGGACCGCGCUUCGGCUAGGAUGCUGGCGUAAUGGCUGUAAACGACCCGUCUUGAAACACGGACCAAGGAGUCUAACAUCUAUGCGAGUGUUUGGGUGUCAAACCCGUACGCGGAAUGAAAGUGAACGGAGGUGAGAACCCCUAAGGGCGCAUCAUCGACCGAUCCAAAUGUCUUCGGAUGGAUUUGAGUAUGAGCAUAGCUGUUGGGACCCGAAAGAUGAUGAACUAUACUUGAAUAGGGUGAAGCCAGAGGAAACUCUGGUGGAGGCUCGCAGCGGUUCUGACGUGCAAAUCGAUCGUCAAAUUUGGGUAUAGGGGCGAAAGACUAAUCGAACCAUC
Molecule: ribosomal RNA, 855 nt
Filed under: Pseudephebe pubescens
Lineage: Eukaryota; Fungi; Ascomycota; Lecanoromycetes; Lecanorales; Parmeliaceae
Description: eukaryotic LSU rRNA
Rfam family: Eukaryotic large subunit ribosomal RNA
Source: RNAcentral